CCUACGGGCGGCAGCAGUAGGGAAUAUUGCUCAAUGGGGGAAACCCUGAAGCAGCAACGCCGCGUGGAGGAUGAAGGUUUUCGGAUUGUAAACUCCUUUUGUUAGAGAAGAUAAUGACGGUAUCUAACGAAUAAGCACCGGCUAACUCCGUGCCAGCAGCCGCGGUAAUACGGAGGGUGCAAGCGUUACUCGGAAUCACUGGGCGUAAAGAGGGCGUAGGCGGGAUAGCAAGUCAGAUGUGAAAUCCUAUGGCUUAACCAUAGAACUGCAUUUGAAACUGUUAUUCUAGAGUAUGGGAGAGGUAGGUGGAAUUCUUGGUGUAGGGGUAAAAUCCGUAGAGAUCAAGAGGAAUACUCAUUGCGAAGGCGACCUGCUAGAACAUAACUGACGCUGAUGCGCGAAAGCGUGGGGAGCAAACAGGAUUAGAUACCCCAGUAGUC
This 440-nucleotide ribosomal RNA is filed under the name uncultured bacterium. Its description in RNAcentral is "partial 16S ribosomal RNA". It matches the Rfam family "Bacterial small subunit ribosomal RNA", at positions 338 to 795 of the family's 1533-position model. The record is from RNAcentral.